This is a non-coding RNA of Schistosoma mattheei, 48 nucleotides long. The record is from Rfam. NCBI's taxonomy places the organism in Eukaryota, Metazoa, Platyhelminthes, Trematoda, Strigeidida, Schistosomatidae.
AUCCGACUGACGAGCCCCAAAUAGGACGAAACGCGCAUCAUACUGGAU